Molecule: ribosomal RNA, 566 nt
Filed under: uncultured bacterium
Lineage: Bacteria
Description: bacterial SSU rRNA
Rfam family: Bacterial small subunit ribosomal RNA
Source: RNAcentral
GAGGGGCCUGCGUCCCAUCAGCUAGUUGGUAAGGUAACGGCUUACCAAGGCGAUGACGGGUAGGGGACCUGAGAGGGUGGCCCCCCACAAUGGAACUGAAACACGGUCCAUACACCUACGGGUGGCAGCAGUAGGGAAUAUUGCUUAAUGGGCGAAAGCCUGAAGCAGCAACGCCGCGUGUGCGAUGAAGGCCUUCGGGUUGUAAAGCACUUUUUGAGGGGAUGAGGAAGGACAGUACCCUCAGAAUAAGCCUCGGCUAACUACGUGCCAGCAGCCGCGGUAACACGUAGGAGGCGAGCGUUAUCCGGAUUUACUGGGUGUAAAGCGCGUGCAGGCGGUUCAGAAAGUUGGAUGUGAAAGCUCCUGGCUUAACUGGGAGAGGUCGUUCAAUACUUCUGGACUCGAGAGUGGGAGAGGGAGGUGGAAUUCCGGGUGUAGUGGUGAAAUGCGUAGAUAUCCGGAGGAACACCAGUGGCGAAAGCGGCCUCCUGGCCCAUUUCUGACGCUCAGACGCGAAAGCUAGGGUAGCAAACGGGAUUAGAGACCCCGGUAGUCCUAGCUGUAAA